Molecule: ribosomal RNA, 134 nt
Filed under: Clostridium botulinum
Lineage: Bacteria; Bacillati; Bacillota; Clostridia; Eubacteriales; Clostridiaceae
Also listed under: 1 other name
Description: partial 23S ribosomal RNA
Rfam family: Bacterial large subunit ribosomal RNA
Source: RNAcentral
AAUUUUAAGGUCAAGCUACAAAGGGCGCAUGGUGAAUGCCUUGGCACUAGGAGCCGAAGAAGGACGCGAUAAGCUGCGAUAAGCCUUGGGUAGCCGCAAAUAGGCUGAGAUCCAGGGAUUUCCGAAUGAGGAAA